GGACCGGUUUAUUGGUCGUGCUUUUGUACGUACUGGUAUUAUUGGUUUCUCCUUUCUGACGAAUCUUAAUGCCAUUAAUUUGGUGUUUUGGGAAAUCAGGACUGUUACUUUGAAAAAAUUAGAGUGUUUAAAGCAGGCUCACGCUUGAAUACAUUAGCAUGGAAUAACGGAAUAGGACGUUUGAUUCUAUUUUGUUGGUUUCUAGGAUCGACGUAAUGAUUAAUAGGGAUAGUUGGG
RNAcentral lists this ribosomal RNA (237 nucleotides) under uncultured Glomeromycotina. RNAcentral's name for it is "partial small subunit ribosomal RNA". The stretch from base 46 to 237 matches the Rfam family "Eukaryotic small subunit ribosomal RNA", at positions 693 to 886 of the family's 1831-position model. The record is from RNAcentral. Lineage: Eukaryota; Fungi; Glomeromycota.